Molecule: small RNA, 219 nt
Filed under: Oryza sativa Japonica Group (Japanese rice)
Lineage: Eukaryota; Viridiplantae; Streptophyta; Magnoliopsida; Poales; Poaceae
Description: sRNA Os04g0573700
Source: RNAcentral
CGGCGUCGGCGUUGUCGGCGCCGCCUUGCACGACUGCGACAGGUGCAGUGGCGCGGCGCUGGCGCCAGGACGACGGGCGGGCACGAUGAACAGAGGAAGGCGAGGUGGAACUUCACGUCGGCGGCGCCGUGGCGAGAGUUGAGGCGGGCGGCAGGGUCCUUGGCGAAGAGGCGGGCGAUGAGGUCGCGCGCGUCGGCGUCGGCGGGCCGCACGAGCCGG